RNAcentral lists this ribosomal RNA (316 nucleotides) under Escherichia coli. Its description in RNAcentral is "bacterial SSU rRNA". It matches the Rfam family "Bacterial small subunit ribosomal RNA", at positions 108 to 427 of the family's 1533-position model. Lineage: Bacteria; Pseudomonadati; Pseudomonadota; Gammaproteobacteria; Enterobacterales; Enterobacteriaceae. The record is from RNAcentral.
GAGUAAUGUCUGGGAAACUGCCUGAUGGAGGGGGAUAACUACUGGAAACGGUAGCUAAUACCGCAUAACGUCGCAAGACCAAAGAGGGGGACCUUCGGGCCUCUUGCCAUCGGAUGUGCCCAGAUGGGAUUAGCUAGUAGGUGGGGUAAAGGCUCACCUAGGCGACGAUCCCUAGCUGGUCUGAGAGGAUGACCAGCCACACUGGAACUGAGACACGGUCCAGACUCCUACGGGAGGCAGCAGUGGGGAAUAUUGCACAAUGGGCGCAAGCCUGAUGCAGCCAUGCCGCGUGUAUGAAGAAGGCCUUCGGGUUGUA